CCCAGUCUCUGGUGGAAAGCAGACUGAACCAGGUUAUUGUCCUGCUGAAAGGUGAAUUCAUCUCCCAGUCUCUGGUGGAAAGCAGACUGAACCAGGUUAUUGUCCUGCUGAAAGGUGAAUUCAUCUCCCAGUCUCUGGUGGAAAGCAGACUGAACCAGGUUAUUGUCCUGCUGAAAGGUGAAUUCAUCUCCCAGUCUCUGGUGGAAAGCAGACUGAACCAGGU
Oncorhynchus keta (chum salmon) is the source of this 223-nucleotide long non-coding RNA. RefSeq lists it as uncharacterized. The transcript is spliced from 4 exons. The record is from RefSeq and is a predicted model, not a curated record. Lineage: Eukaryota; Metazoa; Chordata; Actinopteri; Salmoniformes; Salmonidae.